Non-coding RNA from Zootoca vivipara (common lizard), 5603 nucleotides. The record is from RefSeq and is a predicted model, not a curated record. NCBI's taxonomy places the organism in Eukaryota, Metazoa, Chordata, Lepidosauria, Squamata, Lacertidae.
CUACGGCUGCCGGAGAAGCCGUUGGGGCUGGCGAGGUGGCGGGUCGCGGGUCGUAGCCGAGGGCGGCGCUGAUGCGGUUGGUCUGAGGGGCGGCUGCUGAGGCGGCGGCGGGUGAGGCAGCCGCCCGGCCUGAGGGAGAGAGAGAGAGAAAAGCGCAGGAUGUGGGCUUCCGCCGCGUCUCGCUUCCUGGGAGCGCGCUUCCUCGGAGGGGCUCCCCCGGGGCUGAGGCGCUCCCUCGGCGCCUUUCCCGUUCAGGCCUCUCCUCCUUCGCCCGGCCUGAGGCCUCGCCGCAAAAGGGUGGAGGAGGAGGAGAGGAAAAGGAGGCCUCCUUUCCUGCCCCGCUGCUGGUGCCCAGGCCGGCCGGCCGGCCUGCCCGCCUCCCUCCCGAGGCCGCCGGUGGAAGAUGGCGUGGGUGCUGAAGAUGGACGAAGUGAUCGAGUCCGGCCUCGCGCACGACUUCGACGCCAGCCUCUCCGGCAUCGGGCAAGAGCUGGGCGCCGGCGCUUAUAGCAUGAGUGAUGUUCUGGCACUGCCCAUUUUCAAGCAAGAAGACUCCAGCCUUCCACCUGACAGUGACACAAAACAUCCACCAUUUCAGUAUGUUAUGUGUGCUGCAACAUCUCCAGCUGUCAAACUGCAUGAUGAAACGCUUACUUACUUAAACCAAGGUCAGUCCUACGAAAUCCGGCUGUUAGAUAAUAGAAAAAUGGGAGAUAUGCCAGAGAUCAAUGGGAAAAUGGUGAAGAGUAUUAUAAGAGUUGUGUUCCAUGACAGAAGACUGCAGUAUACUGAGCAUCAGCAACUUGAAGGUUGGAAGUGGAAUCGCCCUGGAGACAGAUUACUUGAUUUAGAUAUUCCUAUGUCAGUUGGAGUAAGCGAUAUAAAGACAAAUCCAAGCCAGCUUAAUGCAGUUGAAUUUCUGUGGGAUCCUGGAAAACGAACAUCUGCCUUUAUUCAGGUACAUUGUAUCAGCACUGAAUUUACACCUCGUAAACAUGGAGGUGAAAAAGGAGUUCCUUUUAGGAUUCAGGUUGACACUUUUAAACAGACAGAAAAUGGAGAAUACACUGAUCAUUUGCAUUCGGCCAGCUGCCAAAUCAAAGUUUUUAAGCCAAAAGGGGCAGAUAGAAAACAGAAAACAGACAGAGAAAAAAUGGAGAAACGAACUGCUCAUGAAAAAGAAAAAUAUCAACCUUCAUAUGACACUACAAUUCUCACAGAGAUGAGGCUUGAGCCUAUAAUUGAAGAUGCAGUUGAACAUGAGCAGAAAAAGUCCAGCAAGCGGACUUUGCCAGCAGACUACGGUGAUUCUCUGGCAAAGCGAGGCAGUUGUUCACCGUGGCCUGAUACAUCUACUGCAUUUGUGAACAGUAGCCCUACCCCAACUCCGACGUUUGCCUCUACUCCACAUAGUACUACUUACAGUGUCCCAGACAGCAAUUCAUCAUCUCCAAAUCACCAAGGAGAUGGAAUUCCUCAAGUAUCGGGAGAGCAACUUCAUCCAUCAGCCACAAUCCAAGAAGCCCAACAAUGGUUGCUUAAACAUAGAUUUUCCACUUACACAAGGCUGUUUUCAAAUUUCUCAGGUGCUGAUUUACUGAAGCUUACAAGAGAAGAUCUGGUACAAAUCUGUGGUCCAGCUGAUGGAAUUCGGCUUUACAAUGCACUUAAAUCAAGGUCUGUUAGGCCACGUCUAACAAUCUAUGUAUGCCAAGAGCAAUCAAGAAGUCUACAACUUGAAAGGCAGCAAGACUCAGGAAGUGGAGAGAGCAGGAAUGGUGCAAUAUAUGUUUAUCAUGCAAUCUACCUGGAAGAAAUGGCUGCCUCUGAAGUCACGCGCAAACUUGCGUUGGUGUUCAAUAUUCCUUUGCAUCAGAUCAACCAGGUUUACAGACAGGGUCCUACUGGCAUCCAUAUUCUCGUCAGUGACCAGACUCAUCAAUUUCUCCUCCAUUCCCCCAUUAACCCCCUAUGAUUCCCUUCCCAACUGCAUUUCUGAAGCCACUUUGUAACUUGUUUUCUGCGGCUUUGCUUUGUGCCAGUUUUCACCUUCAGCCCCCAUGUCUGUGCCUCCACCACCACUACUUUUUCUGAAACCCCCUGCCAUUUAAUAUAGAUGGUAAUACAUGGUAACCUUUUGCAUCUUUGUCCUUCCGACACCUUGCAGCUACAAAGCACCCUUUUCAACUUGCACCCAAUUUAUGCAACCACCAUCCCCUCCUAUUCUGCAGGCCCAUUAAUGCCCCUGCUUUUAUCUUCACCCCCGUUGCUAUGCCACCUAAUCACUCCUGUUUUGCACCCCCUCUUUUUUCAACUCCAACUUGCACACAGACCAUCCCCAUUUCCAUGCUUCAUUCUCUCUCUUGUUCUGCAGCCCCAUUUAUGCCCAAAGCACAUGUUGAUGUAUAGUACUGUAGCUUUAAGAUAGAAUCUCAAGACGAAGCCUGCCAGUUAGCUUGUUCGGUUAAAGGUUCUGUUCAGUUGAUGGCUAUUGUACAUUGGAGUGUUCGCUUGUUAAUGAAAUAUCUCUUUUAAAUUACUACACUGAACCUGGAACGUCAUGUUGAAGACAGAAGAAUGAAAUACAUUGUGUGAGCAUAUGGGAUAUUUGAGGGGUCUGCAUCCAUUAUUUCUCACAUAGCACAGUUGAGGGAUGGAAGUUGAAGAUGAAUGAAAAAGUAGAUGUGGAUGCUUUAAACAACUGCAGAAAUUUAAGUAUGUAAAGCAGGGGAUUGAGAGACACCACAAAUAUUCAAGCAGGGUCUGCACAAUUAUAUUCUUAGGUUCAUAGAGAUAUAAAGACCAAGACACCCACACAUGGCCACAUCACUGUCACUCGUCAUUGAGCACAGUAGUUUUAUUUUUUAAAAAAAAUACCAUGCAAACAUAAUAAUGGCACUUUAGAGUAUUGAGGCUCAGGUUGCUGCUUGUAAAACAGCUUGGCUCUCCUUGCGGCAAUUUUGGGUGAUGCAUGAAACUUGGGUACACUGCUAUGCAUGUUGCCAGCAUGUAGCUGCAUUUACUUGUCUUUCUUCCUAGAUGGUUCAAAACUUUGAAGAUGAAAGCUGCUUCUUAGUUACCACAAUAAAAGCUGAAAAUGGCGAAGGCUUCCAUAUAAUUUUGAAGUGAUGUUGCCAUACAAUAUAAUGGACUGAUAUUCCAGUAUAGAAUGAAGUCAUGCUCAAGAAUGACAAAUAACAUCGUCUCUUCAGGGAUCUGACUUCACCGUAUAGAAUGUUUCAUAUUGAAAACACAAGGUGACCUUUCUAAUGAGCUGUUUAGUAGAUGAACUUCCCACUGCCAUAGCCAAAAGUCCUCAUAAGAGGUAACAAUGCCGAAAUAGCUAACGUACAGGCAUGGAAAAAACAAAGGUGUUUGCCCUUUUUAAAAUUAAGGCAAGCUAUGGCCAGUAGAUGCAGUUUGUAGAAGCGUUACUGCUUUCCUAUUACACUGUAUCCAGUUUGAAUGUAAACUUAUUCUGGGCAUUUACCUUUCUGUGCCAGUUUGUCUAUUACUCGCUUGUACCUUUAUGCUGAUUUUAUUUUUUGAUGUUAGCAGAGCACAUAGUAAUUUGUGUGGAAAUAAGUAGUAAAAAUGAUAGCAAUCAGGUUUUGGGUCUUGAGAGUGAAGCUGUCAAAACAGCAUCCUCUGUGUAAAUUGUGUAUAAGCGUGAAUGUAAGAAGUGUAAAUGUCAAAAGGUGGACUUGCUGAAAGUCCUAGACAGAUGAAAAUUAAGCAUGCAGCAGACCACCUCAUCAUCAGUACCUAUUUGAGAGGAUAAGAAGAAAUCCUGUGAGGUACAAUAUUUUGCUUUGUAAUAGGCAUGUUACAGAAAAUCUGCCUAUGCAUCAUGUCUUUUUUAGUUUUUCUUUAAAGCACUACCGCAGCAUUUCAAUAUUUCACGUUUUGAACCACACUAUUAUUAAUAAUAGUGAGUUGGGACUUCCUCAUGGAGAAAAAGGGAAUGUCACUGGCACCAAGGGACUAUUCUGAAGCAUUAAGCAAGAAUCUACAAAUCAAAUGUUGAUUUUGGUUACCGCUCUAGUUGAAAACCAGGAUCUUCCCAUGUGUGAACUGUUUGUUGCUUCUUUUCUCUGACUCUUGUGGAAAACCAUAGUUACAGUGCCUCUUCCAUACAACCAAAUACUUGAUUAGCAGUUGCACAACUUAAUGAAUGAGCUGCAAAAAUGUCCUUAAAUGUUGGCUGAAGAGCAGAUAACUAUCCAAGGACAGGUGCACAUGUCUGCUCUGCAUUUAUAUAGGUUUGUGGGAGAUUCAGACAGAGAAUGCUGGUUAUUCCGUCAUGGUAGGUAGCUUGCCCCUUAAUCAAAUACAGUGGUACCUCGACAUCCAAAUGACUAGACUUCUGAAGGUUUCACCUUCCAAAGUCGACAAACCCGGAAAUCUUUUCGCCGUGCACGCAUUCUGCGCCUACGCAGAAGCACAAAAUCCGUGGAACGGAUCACCUUCGUAAGUUGAGGUACCACUGUAGCUAAAAUCUUAACUGAUGUAGUGAAUAUUUGAAGGUGGGAAGAGCAGCAUGUCAAUACUGUUCUUAAUUUCACUCCCAUUUAUAAUUAUGCCUAGGUUAAUAAGUCUUUAUGUUAAGAAUGUUGUUUCACUCCUAGAGUAGGAUGAGGGCUUACUCCCCACCCCCCACGACCUAUUCUGCACUGAUGGGGAAGGAGAGUAGAGUAGAGUUUGUGAGCAUACUUAAGUUUUUCUUGCCUAUAAAUUAUUUUGGUUGUACUUGGGUGUCUUCAAUGAACUUGAUGCAUCAUCUCAUUUUUCUAAUCUGUGGAGAAUCUGAAAAAUGUCACUAAAUUAUAAAAGCUGUACAGUAGUUUGGUUCACUUGGAUUUAAUUAUGGCACCAGCAAAUUGCUUUUUGUUUUUAAAUAAGAUGUAUACAUUUCAAUUUCAGUAAAAAACAUUUUCCAAUAAUUAUUGUAUAUUUCCUCACUUGCAAAGCAAUACUGAAGUACAGGUGGUGCUGAGAUCGUUUUGUUUGGACAGAAGCUUUCCACCCAUUUUCAGCUACUCUGUCUUUUUUUGGGGGGGGGGGGGGCGGCGACUGAAACCAGCCUAAAUAGGGUUGCCUUUAUUUAAUAGUGUACCAAAUUUUUUCACUUGGAGCAAGUACCUUUUUAAUAACUGGAAUUUCAUAAACUUUACCUCUUAAGAGUUGAAUACAUAUCAAAACAAUUUUGUUUGGCAAGCUAUUAGAUUUCCCCCCGUAACAGUUUAAAUUACCAUAGACAGAUAGUCUGCAGAAUAUCCCUCUCUUAACAGAAAAAGAAAUACAUUUUCCAUUGUUGGCAAUCAAUGUAAGGCAUAACCUAGCUAAAGUAGUCUUAAGACAUCAGUACCUAGUUUUUGCAGUGCAUUUCCAAUCAUACAUUUUUUCCUCAAUUUGAUUACCCCCUUAGCUGAAAUGAACUGAUUCCUUUAAUUUUCAGUGUACUGUGAACAUAAGAGUUCAGGGCAUACACUAGCUAUGUUAAUACAGUGGUGCCUUGGUUUACAACCAUAAUCCGGUCCAGUUGUAAACCAAAAAAGGUUGUAACCCAAGGCGCACUUUCGCCAAUGCCAACCCCCCCCCAA